RNAcentral lists this ribosomal RNA (497 nucleotides) under uncultured bacterium. RNAcentral's name for it is "partial 16S ribosomal RNA". It matches the Rfam family "Bacterial small subunit ribosomal RNA", at positions 28 to 507 of the family's 1533-position model. The record is from RNAcentral.
GAUGAACGCUGGCGGCGUGCCUAAUACAUGCAAGUCGAGCGAACAGACGAGGAGCUUGCUCCUCUGACGUUAGCGGCGGACGGGUGAGUAACACGUGGAUAACCUACCUAUAAGACUGGGAUAACUUCGGGAAACCGGAGCUAAUACCGGAUAACAUGUUGAACCGCAUGGUUCAACAGUGAAAGACGGUCUUGCUGUCACUUAUAGAUGGAUCCGCGCCGCAUUAGCUAGUUGGUAGGGUAACGGCUUACCAAGGCAACGAUGCGUAGCCGACCUGAGAGGGUGAUCGGCCACACUGGAACUGAGACACGGUCCAGACUCCUACGGGAGGCAGCAGUAGGGAAUCUUCCGCAAUGGGCGAAAGCCUGACGGAGCAACGCCGCGUGAGUGAUGAAGGUCUUCGGAUCGUAAAACUCUGUUAUUAGGGAAGAACAAAUGUGUAAGUAACUAUGCACGUCUUGACGGUACCUAAUCAGAAAGCCACGGCUAACUACGUG